GCCGCGGAGCGAGGGCGGGGAUGGAUGGGCGGUGAGCGCACGGCUCUGCCCGUCCCGCCGCUGCCCAGAUUUCACAGCAUAAGCGGCGUGAGCUGCGUUGGGAACAAUGAAAUCCUGCCUUCCCGGUGGCACUGUUCAGCCGGCAUCAUCUGAAUGAGGCUGCAUUCCCGAAGAUGAGGUCCUUUGAGUGACCCCACCACAGCUGGAUGGUGCCAGGACUGGCUGACAGCUUGCAGCCUCUUAUUUUGUUUCCUGAGCAGGCAGAGAUGAAAGUCAUCCCAAGCAUGACUUGUUAGAAGUAAUGGCUGCCUCACAUAUUUGCUGUCAGAAACAGGGAGAAGACAAAAAUCUGCUGGUUAAAGGCUCAGACAAAGCCAUCUCCUCUACUUGGUCACACAAGCUGAAAGCAAUGGAGAAACAGCAGCAGUGUCAAAAUGCCAUGAAGGACUGGCAGCAGCUUGUCAUGGAAGUGGUUUUCAUGGAGCAGUGGGAGCAGCGUUCCUCAACCUGCAGUGCCAUGGUGCACAAAUGAGGGAGGAGACACCCAGAAAUGCGUUGUUAGUGCUCUUUGGGAACAGGAUCUUCUGGAUUCCCUCCAAUCAGUGCUGGACCCAGCCUGUGUUGCAAGACACCUAUCAGCCCUUCAGAGGUGGAGAUGUGUGAAAUGACUGUGCUUUUCCCUAUGUGUGGUUGGGUAUAUUUAAUGGCAUUGAGAUAACUCAAUUUCUGAGCUGUUGGUCCUUUCCUACCACACUGCAGUUAUUAAUGGUACUUUUAAAGUUGUUCUGUCCUACAAAAGCACACCUGGUCUUGGUGACCCAGCCUGUUCACUAAAGGCUUGGGUCAAUCAGAUUGGGCCACAACCAGCACAGGCUAUUGGUGGCAGAUGUGAUGCUUAACUCUCUGCAGAGGAGAGGUCAUGCUCCUCCAAAUUAAGUGAUUCACGGUGCAGUAUCUGAGUGCAUUGCACUGGAGAUACCUCACCAGCCCUGCUCCUGCUUGGCUUGUGAAAUGGGAUCUUAUCACAGUCUGACUACACACAAAGUGGUUAGAAGACAAGCAUGGACUUCAAAUUUGGUCAAAUAACAUCAGCCCAGUGCCACCUGCAAGCCCAUUCAGAUGUUAUGGCAGCCAGAGGAUCCAAUAUCUAGAGGGAAAAGGUGGGAGAUUUUGUUAAGAACAGGCUCAAGACGCUGCUAGUUUGUACAACCAAGGAUUAAAAAGUGCUUCUGUCAUCCCUGGGGCAGGGGUUAAAGACUCUUGUGUAUGCCCAUGCCUGUGUCUCACGUGGUAUGAGCAUGGGAUGUUGUAGUGCUGGGGACUCAGAGAUAUGAGUCAGCUUAUCUGCUCCUGCCUAUAAACAAGGCACUUGGGAUACAGCUUCCCUCCUAUCAGCUUCUGAUAGCAACUUCCUUCCUACCCUCUUUCCCAAGCCAGCACGUGCUAACAUGUUGUGCAACAGAACCGGUUGGACAAGAAAUUCAGAAGUACUCUAGGAGCCCAAGGAUGUGCACUUUAUGCCUUUAAGCAGCAGAGGCUUGCUGGGAAUGGCCCCAGACUGUCAGGUGUGUGCAUUUACCUUCUGGAAACGGGGUAGAAUAAAAGGGCAUCUCUGCCUCUUUCA
Molecule: long non-coding RNA, 1624 nt
Organism: Parus major (Great Tit)
Lineage: Eukaryota; Metazoa; Chordata; Aves; Passeriformes; Paridae
Source: Ensembl